Molecule: small RNA, 48 nt
Filed under: Aquiflexum balticum DSM 16537
Lineage: Bacteria; Pseudomonadati; Bacteroidota; Cytophagia; Cytophagales; Cyclobacteriaceae
Description: Acido-Lenti-1 RNA
Rfam family: Acido-Lenti-1 RNA
Source: Rfam by way of RNAcentral
CCCUGCAAUAAAUUGCAGGGCUAUUAUAUCGGUCGUGCCUACAGCACU